ACGGGUGAGUAACGCGUGGGUAACCUGCCUCAUACAGGGGGAUAACAGUUGGAAACGACUGCUAAAACCGCAUAACAUUGCGACGUCGCAUGACGAUGCAAUUAAAUAUUUAUAGGUAUGAGAUGGGCCCGCGUCUGAUUAGCUAGUUGGUGAGGUAAUGGCUCACCAAGGCGACGAUCAGUAGCCGGCUUGAGAGAGUGACCGGCCACAUUGGGACUGAGACACGGCCCAAACUCCUACGGGAGGCAGCAGUGGGGAAUAUUGCACAAUGGGGGAAACCCUGAUGCAGCGACGCCGCGUGAGUGAAGAAGUAUUUCGGUAUGUAAAGCUCUAUCAGCAGGGAAGAAAAUGACGGUACCUGACUAAGAAGCCCCGGCUAACUACGUGCCAGCAGCCGCGGUAAUACGUAGGGGGCAAGCGUUAUCCGGAUUUACUGGGUGUAAAGGGAGCGUAGGUGGUUCGGCAAGUCAGAUGUGAAAGCCCGGGGCUCAACCCCGGGACUGCAUUUGAAACUGCCGUACUAGAGUGCAGGAGAGGUAAGUGGAAUUCCUAGU
This 554-nucleotide ribosomal RNA is filed under the name uncultured bacterium. RNAcentral describes it as "bacterial SSU rRNA". It matches the Rfam family "Bacterial small subunit ribosomal RNA", at positions 102 to 674 of the family's 1533-position model. The record is from RNAcentral.